Molecule: long non-coding RNA, 828 nt
Filed under: Micromonas pusilla
Lineage: Eukaryota; Viridiplantae; Chlorophyta; Mamiellophyceae; Mamiellales; Mamiellaceae
Description: long non-coding RNA (MPUS_LNC000059)
Source: RNAcentral
CGCGCUCGGUGCGUUACCCGGGUUCUGGUUCAUCAACACGAGCGACUACGGGUCCCACAACCUGUUGCUCUAUUUCGGCUGUCUCGUCGGCGGCGUCCUCGCCGGCGUCACGCCGCCCAACGUCCGCGCGGUGCUCCUCAACGUGAACCCUCCAGGCGCGUUCUGAUUCACACUGGUCCCCAUACGACCGCGUCGGCGUGGUGAACGCGAUUCCUUAAGGACUUUGCCCGGCGUGUCUCUCCGCCCAGGGUCCCUCGCUUUCAAUACCCGCCCUCGGCGCCUUUCAACUCCGCUUCUGACGCCUAUGAACUCCGCCCCGACGUCGCUUUGAACGAUGGACCCUCGACCCUCAGAGACGCGCGGGAGCAUGUUCGCGUUCUACUCGCAGAUCGACGACGUCGGGAAGGGCGGCGGCCCCGCGCUCGUCGCCGGGCUGAUCAUGGCGUCCGGACGGAGGUUCGCGUUUAACGUCGCGAUGACCGGGUGGCUGGUGUGCGGGUGCGUUUUGUUGACGUUGCGGGGGUUCAUCGACGCGGACGUCGUUCGCGCGCAGGAGCAGGUGGAGGACGAGCUGGACGGCGUCGUCGCGGAGGAGGGGGGAGGGGGGGAGGGCGCGUCGAGGGACGACGAGGACGACGCGGAUAACGUAGCGUAGUGGCGAGGCGAGGGGUCGCCGGGAAACUUAGGUGAGGGAUCGCGGGAAACUUUCGCCGUCGGAACUCACACGCGCUCUCGAGAUCUGAGCGACCGCCGAUUUUCCCUGCUGCCGACGACGCGACGCGUCACACGUCAUUUCUUUUCAACCGUCUUUCGCGGCGGCCGCGCGAC